GUGUUUCGAUUCAGAUGAGUGCGUUGAGUUUGAUCCUUGUUCAGGACGAAACGCUGGUGGCGUGCCUAAUACAUGCAAGUCGUACGCUUCUUUUUCCACCGGAGCUUGCUCCACCGGAAAAAGAAGAGUGGCGAACGGGUGAGUAACACGUGGGUAACCUGCCCAUCAGAAGGGGAUAACACUUGGAAACAGGUGCUAAUACCGUAUAACAAUCGAAACCGCAUGGUUUUGAUUUGAAAGGCGCUUUCGGGUGUCGCUGAUGGAUGGACCCGCGGUGCAUUAGCUAGUUGGUGAGGUAACGGCUCACCAAGGCCACGAUGCAUAGCCGACCUGAGAGGGUGAUCGGCCACAUUGGGACUGAGACACGGCCCAAACUCCUACGGGAGGCAGCAGUAGGGAAUCUUCGGCAAUGGACGAAAGUCUGACCGAGCAACGCCGCGUGAGUGAAGAAGGUUUUCGGAUCGUAAAACUCUGUUGUUAGAGAAGAACAAGGAUGAGAGUAACUGUUCAUCCCUUGACGGUAUCUAACCAGAAAGCCACGGCUAACUACGUGCCAGCAGCCGCGGUAAUACGUAGGUGGCAAGCGUUGUCCGGAUUUAUUGGGCGUAAAGCGAGCGCAGGCGGUUUCUUAAGUCUGAUGUGAAAGCCCCCGGCUCAACCGGGGAGGGUCAUUGGAAACUGGGAGACUUGAGUGCAGAAGAGGAGAGUGGAAUUCCAUGUGUAGCGGUGAAAUGCGUAGAUAUAUGGAGGAACACCAGUGGCGAAGGCGGCUCUCUGGUCUGUAACUGACGCUGAGGCUCGAAAGCGUGGGGAGCAAACAGGAUUAGAUACCCUGGUAGUCCACGCCGUAAACGAUGAGUGCUAAGUGUUGGAGGGUUUCCGCCCUUCAGUGCUGCAGCUAACGCAUUAAGCACUCCGCCUGGGGGAGUACGACCGCAAGGGUUGAAACUCUAAAUAAUUUGACGUCUGAAUCUUCCAAUGCCACC
RNAcentral lists this ribosomal RNA (986 nucleotides) under Enterococcus faecium. RNAcentral describes it as "bacterial SSU rRNA". It matches the Rfam family "Bacterial small subunit ribosomal RNA". Lineage: Bacteria; Bacillati; Bacillota; Bacilli; Lactobacillales; Enterococcaceae. The record is from RNAcentral.